ACGGGUGAGGAAUACAUCGGAAUCUACCUUUUCGUGGGGGAUAACGUAGGGAAACUUACGCUAAUACCGCAUAAGACCUUCGGGUGAAAGUGGGGGACCUUCGGGCCUCACGCGGAUAGAUGAGCCGAUGUCGGAUUAGCUUGUUGGCGGGGUAAAAGCCCACCAAGGCGACGAUCCGUAGCUGGUCUGAGAGGAUGAUCAGCCACACUGGAACUGAGACACGGUCCAGACUCCUACGGGAGGCAGCAGUGGGGAAUAUUGGACAAUGGGCGCAAGCCUGAUCCAGCCAUACCGCGUGGGUGAAGAAGGCCUUCGGGUUGUAAAGCCCUUUUGUUGGGAAAGAAAUCCUGCCGGUUAAUAACCAGUAGGGAUGACGGUACCCAAAGAAUAAGCACCGGCUAACUUCGUGCCAGCAGCCGCGGUAAUACGAAGGGUGCAAGCGUUACUCGGAAUUACUGGGCGUAAAGCGUGCGUAGGUGGUUGUUUAAGUCUGCUGUGAAAGCCCUGGGCUCAACCUGGGAAUUGCAGUGGAUACUGGGCGACUAGAGUGUGGUAGAGGAUAGUGGAAUUUCCGGU
This 576-nucleotide ribosomal RNA is filed under the name uncultured bacterium. RNAcentral describes it as "bacterial SSU rRNA". It matches the Rfam family "Bacterial small subunit ribosomal RNA", at positions 102 to 674 of the family's 1533-position model. The record is from RNAcentral.